RNAcentral lists this long non-coding RNA (199 nucleotides) under Phaseolus vulgaris (common bean). Its description in RNAcentral is "long non-coding RNA (PVUL_LNC004426)". Lineage: Eukaryota; Viridiplantae; Streptophyta; Magnoliopsida; Fabales; Fabaceae. The record is from RNAcentral.
GGUUACUGUCAUUUGAUGUUUGGUGUUGCCAAUUUAAGACCUUUUGCUACUUCAAAUUUGAAAAGGGAGUGGCUUCCUGCACUACUUGUAAGCUAUAUUUAUCAUUCAAACUUAAUUCAACUUAACGAUUAAGGAUGCUUUGUCGAUUCAUCGUAAAUAAAACUGUUGGUUUGUUGAUUGAUGAAAAGAUGCAUAUUCC